AAAACUUUCAACAACGGAUCUCUUGGUUCUGGCAUCGAUGAAGAACGCAGCGAAAUGCGAUAAGUAAUGUGAAUUGCAGAAUUCAGUGAAUCAUCGAAUCUUUGAACGCACAUUGCGCCCGUCAGUAUUCUGGCGGGCAUGCCUGUUCGAGCG
This 153-nucleotide ribosomal RNA is filed under the name Metarhizium sp. RMK-2011b. RNAcentral describes it as "5.8S ribosomal RNA". It matches the Rfam family "5.8S ribosomal RNA". From Rfam's summary of the family: 5.8S ribosomal RNA (5.8S rRNA) is a component of the large subunit of the eukaryotic ribosome. It is transcribed by RNA polymerase I as part of the 45S precursor that also contains 18S and 28S rRNA. Lineage: Eukaryota; Fungi; Ascomycota; Sordariomycetes; Hypocreales; Clavicipitaceae. The record is from RNAcentral.